Molecule: transfer RNA, 70 nt
Filed under: bovine gut metagenome
Rfam family: tRNA
About the family: Transfer RNA (tRNA) molecules are approximately 80 nucleotides in length. Their secondary structure includes four short double-helical elements and three loops (D, anti-codon, and T loops).
Source: RNAcentral
CGAUUAGCUCAGUUGGUUAGAGCGUCCGCUUGACGUGCGGAAGGUCACAGGUUCGAAUCCUGUAUCGUCC